CAGCGCCAUGAGUGGCAAUCAUAAUUAUUGGGCCUAAAGCGUCCGUAGCCGGUUUGAUCCGUCUUUUGUGAAAUUGUUUGGCUUAACCAAACAUUGUGCAAAAGAUACAAUCAAACUUGGAACUGGGAGGAGUCAGAGGUAUUCUAAGGGGAGCGGUAAAAUGCUAUAAUCCUUGGAAGACCACCUGUGGCGAAAGCAUCUGACUAGAACAGAUUCGACGGUGAGGGACGAAAGCUAGGGGAGCAAACCGGAUUAGAUACCCGAGUAGUCC
This 271-nucleotide ribosomal RNA is filed under the name uncultured archaeon. RNAcentral's name for it is "partial 16S ribosomal RNA". It matches the Rfam family "Archaeal small subunit ribosomal RNA", at positions 477 to 747 of the family's 1478-position model. The record is from RNAcentral.